Molecule: ribosomal RNA, 484 nt
Filed under: uncultured bacterium
Lineage: Bacteria
Description: partial 16S ribosomal RNA
Rfam family: Bacterial small subunit ribosomal RNA
Source: RNAcentral
GAUGAACGCUGGCGGCGUGCUUAACACAUGCAAGUCGAACGGUGAAAGCGGAGCUUGCUCUGCUGGAUCAGUGGCGAACGGGUGAGUAACACGUGAGCAAUCUGCCCUUGACUCUGGGAUAAGCGCUGGAAACGGCGUCUAAUACCGGAUACGAGCUGCGAAGGCAUCUUCAGCAGCUGGAAAGAACUUCGGUCAAGGAUGAGCUCGCGGCCUAUCAGCUUGUUGGUGAGGUAACGGCUCACCAAGGCGUCGACGGGUAGCCGGCCUGAGAGGGUGACCGGCCACACUGGGACUGAGACACGGCCCAGACUCCUACGGGAGGCAGCAGUGGGGAAUAUUGCACAAUGGGCGCAAGCCUGAUGCAGCAACGCCGCGUGAGGGACGACGGCCUUCGGGUUGUAAACCUCUUUUAGCAGGGAAGAAGCGAAAGUGACGGUACCUGCAGAAAAAGCACCGGCUAACUACGUGCCAGCCGCCGCAGUAA